Molecule: ribosomal RNA, 460 nt
Filed under: uncultured bacterium
Lineage: Bacteria
Description: partial 16S ribosomal RNA
Rfam family: Bacterial small subunit ribosomal RNA
Source: RNAcentral
CCUACGGGUGGCAGCAGUGAGGAAUAUUGGUCAAUGGGCGCGAGCCUGAACCAGCCAAGUCGCGUGAGGGAAGACGGUCCUAUGGAUUGUAAACCUCUUUAGCCGGGGAGCAAUGCCGGGCACGCGUGCCCCGAAGGAGAGUACCCGCAGAAUAAGCAUCGGCUAACUCCGUGCCAGCAGCCGCGGUAAUACGGAGGAUGCGAGCGUUAUCCGGAUUUAUUGGGUUUAAAGGGUGCGUAGGCGGAGGUUUAAGUCAGCGGUAAAAUGUCCGGGCUCAACCCGGGCCGGCCGUUGAAACUGGCGAUCUUGAGUGGAAGAGAAGUAUGCGGAAUGCGUGGUGUAGCGGUGAAAUGCAUAGAUAUCACGCAGAACCCCGAUUGCGAAGGCAGCAUACCGGCGUCCGACUGACGCUGAGGCACGAAAGCGUGGGGAUCGAACAGGAUUAGAUACCCUAGUAGUC